RNAcentral lists this ribosomal RNA (277 nucleotides) under uncultured Nostoc sp. Its description in RNAcentral is "partial 16S ribosomal RNA". It matches the Rfam family "Bacterial small subunit ribosomal RNA", at positions 233 to 524 of the family's 1533-position model. Lineage: Bacteria; Bacillati; Cyanobacteriota; Cyanophyceae; Nostocales; Nostocaceae. The record is from RNAcentral.
GCGUCCGAUUAGCUAGUAGGUGGGGUAAAGGCUUACCUAGGCGACGAUCAGUAGCUGGUCUGAGAGGAUGAUCAGCCACACUGGGACUGAGACACGGCCCAGACUCCUACGGGAGGCAGCAGUGGGGAAUUUUCCGCAAUGGGCGAAAGCCUGACGGAGCAAUACCGCGUGAGGGAGGAAGGCUCUUGGGUCGUAAACCUCUUUUCUCAGGGAAGAAACAAAUGACGGUACCUGAGGAAUCAGCAUCGGCUAACUCCGUGCCAGCAGCCGCGGUAAU